AUUAUUUUGGCAGAUUAGUGUAUCAAAUUUAGAAUUUGAGUAUGUAUAUAUUACAAAUAAUA
RNAcentral lists this transfer RNA (62 nucleotides) under Ptiliidae sp. BMNH 1274723. RNAcentral describes it as "tRNA-Leu". Lineage: Eukaryota; Metazoa; Arthropoda; Insecta; Coleoptera; Ptiliidae. The record is from RNAcentral.